GGACCCGCACAAGCGGUGGAGCAUGUGGUUUAAUUCGAUGCAACGCGAAGAACCUUACCUGGUCUUGACAUCCUGCGAACUUUCUAGAAAUAGAUUGGUGCCUUCGGGAACGCAGUGACAGGUGCUGCAUGGCUGUCGUCAGCUCGUGUCGUGAGAUGUUGGGUUAAGUCCCGUAACGAGCGCAACCCCUAUCCUUAUUUGCCAGCACAUUAUGGUGGGAACUAUAAGGGGACUGCCGGUGAUAAACCGGAGGAAGGUGAGGACGACGUCAAGUCAUCAUGGCCCUUACGAGUAGGGCUACACACGUGCUACAAUGGUCGGUACAGAGGGCAGCUACCGGGUGACCGGAUGCG
RNAcentral lists this ribosomal RNA (353 nucleotides) under uncultured bacterium. Its description in RNAcentral is "bacterial SSU rRNA". It matches the Rfam family "Bacterial small subunit ribosomal RNA", at positions 917 to 1269 of the family's 1533-position model. The record is from RNAcentral.